UAAAUUCAGGCUCCUCCUCAGGCUUGAAGAGAUUUCCGGGAGCGGUGACUCUCAUCUGCUCGAAGAUGAGCCCACUGUGGACCUUCCUCUUCCUGCUGUCAGCUCCCAGCGGGGUCCUGUCCCAGGUGCAGCUGCGGGAGUCGGGACCCAGCCUGGUGAAGCCCUCACAGACCCUCUCCCUCACCUGCGCUGUCUCUGGAUUCUCACUAAGCAGCUAUGCUCUACACUGGGUCCGCAGGCUCCAGGGAAGGCGCUGGAGUGGGUUGGUGCAAUAGGUUAUAGUGGAAGCACAUGCUAUAAUCCAGCCCUGAAAUCCCGGCUCAGCAUCACCAGGGACACCUCCAAGAGCCAAGUCUCCCUCUCACUGAGCAGCGUGACACCUGAGGACACGGCCGUGUAUUACUGUGCAAGAGACACAGUGAGUGGAAGUCUGUGUGAGCCCAGACAGAAACCUCCCUGCAUGGGCGCCCAGGACCACCAGGGGGCGCUCAGGGCCCACCACGUUCAGGACUGCGCCCAGGAGCAGGUGCCCCGGGGCGCCGGGAGGGAACUCGUGUUGGAAUCUGGUUUUCUCGUCCGGCCCAGCGAUUCCCUGGAAACCUCUCUAGUGUCCUCGCUGUUCCAUUAUUGUGGUUUAUACUGCUUUCAUUAA
Odocoileus virginianus texanus is the source of this 652-nucleotide non-coding RNA. The record is from RefSeq and is a predicted model, not a curated record. Lineage: Eukaryota; Metazoa; Chordata; Mammalia; Artiodactyla; Cervidae.